RNAcentral lists this ribosomal RNA (433 nucleotides) under uncultured bacterium. RNAcentral's name for it is "partial 16S ribosomal RNA". It matches the Rfam family "Bacterial small subunit ribosomal RNA", at positions 29 to 507 of the family's 1533-position model. The record is from RNAcentral.
AACGAACGCUGGCGGCAUGCCUAACACAUGCCAGUCGAACGAGACCUUCGGGUCUAGUGGCGCACGGGUGCGUAACGCGUGGGAACCUGCCCUUAGGUUCGGAAUAACUCCCCGUAAGGGGUGCUAAUACCGGAUAAUGUCUUCGGACCAAAGAUUUAUCGACUUUGGAUGGGCCCGCGUUGGAUUAGCUAGUUGGUAGGGUAAAAGCCUACCAAGGCGACGAUCCAUAGCUGGUCUGAGAGGAUGAUCAGCCACACUGGGACUGAGACACGGCCCAGACUCCUACGGGAGGCAGCAGUGGGGAAUAUUGGACAAUGGGCGGAAGCCUGAUCCAGCAAUGCCGCGUGAGUGAUGAAGGCCUUAGGGUUGUAAAGCUCUUUUACCCGGGAUGAUAAUGACAGUACCGGGAGAAUAAGCGCCGGCUAACUCCGUG